UACGUAGGUGGCGAGCGUUGUCCGGAUUUACUGGGCGUAAAGAGCGCGCAGGCGGUCGUUCAAGUCGCGUGUGAAAGCCCCCGGCUCAACUGGGGAGGGUCACGCGAUACUGAUCGACUCGAAGGCAGGAGAGGGUAGUGGAAUUCCCGGUGUAGUGGUGAAAUGCGUAGAUAUCGGGAGGAACACCAGUGGCGAAGGCGACUACCUGGCCUGUUCGACGCUGAGGCGCGAAAGCUAGGGGAGCAAACGGG
Molecule: ribosomal RNA, 251 nt
Filed under: uncultured bacterium
Lineage: Bacteria
Description: partial 16S ribosomal RNA
Rfam family: Bacterial small subunit ribosomal RNA
Source: RNAcentral